Molecule: non-coding RNA, 146 nt
Filed under: unclassified sequences
Description: RT-14 RNA
Rfam family: RT-14 RNA
About the family: Cloacimonetes, Firmicutes, Proteobacteria.
Source: Rfam by way of RNAcentral
CUCUAAUAUUUUUUCUAGAUUAUAUAUUCUAAGGAAUAUAUACAAUGAGAUAUUAGAUAUUAAAGAGAUUUGUUCCUUCCUAAUUAAGGUAAAAAAGAAUCAAUAUAAUUUGUAUUAGUAAAAUUAAGUGAAUAUAUGAAUUAUAU